This 253-nucleotide ribosomal RNA is filed under the name uncultured bacterium. RNAcentral describes it as "partial 16S ribosomal RNA". It matches the Rfam family "Bacterial small subunit ribosomal RNA", at positions 524 to 776 of the family's 1533-position model. The record is from RNAcentral.
UACGGGGGGGGCAAGCGUUGUUCGGAAUUACUGGGCGUAAAGGGCUCGUAGGUGGCCAACUAGGUCGGACGUGAAAUCCCUCGGCUUAACCGGGGAACUGCGUCCGAUACUGGUUGGCUUGAGUUUGGGAGAGGGAUGCGGAAUUCCAGGUGUAGCGGUGAAAUGCGUAGAUAUGACAUAGAACACCAAUUGCGAAGGCAGCUGGCUACACAAAUAUUGACACUGAGGCACGAAAGCGUGGGGAUCAAACAGG